This is a long non-coding RNA of Camelus dromedarius (Arabian camel), 2883 nucleotides long. RefSeq lists it as uncharacterized. NCBI's taxonomy places the organism in Eukaryota, Metazoa, Chordata, Mammalia, Artiodactyla, Camelidae. The record is from RefSeq and is a predicted model, not a curated record. The transcript has 4 exons.
CAUGCUCCCAAGUCCAGAGCGUUUGGGGUAGUUGAGACUGGUUUUUUCCCCUGCCUUCUUUAAAACGCAGAUCCUUUAUUUUUAAAGUUCUGAUACGAUAGGCAUCAUGGAGGAUCCUCUUGGAUUCAGGACGCACGUCAGUCAGUCUGUCCUUCUGGUCCAGAGACAAGGUCGCCGCGGUCCCCAGGAGUAGUGUUAACUUUCGCCUUACUCUCCUGUCCUGACGUCACGGCCCUGAGGAACAGCUCUGUCCGCAGAGGAGGGCCACCGGGCUCUGGCCGAGCCGUCUGGGGCACGAACUGGCGACGCACUGGGCAGGCAGACUCCGACGGGGGCCUCGGGACACAGCCCCUUCCACCUGAUCCUGGACACAUCCUCUUACCUGCCUGCAGUCCACCCACGGGUUGAACGCAUCUCUGACGCUCCCCUUCCAACCAAGAGGACCCCUUCUGAAAGUUUGAUGGACUUCACAGAACUCUCAUAAGCAUGUCCUCAUUCUGGGACAUUCACUCGGUGUGUGCCUCUCACCCAGACAUCUACAGACUCCCACUUCGGGAACUGAACAUAAGCUCAUGCAAGUGCAUCCCCACUCGUCCACGGACCUAACUCUACUUCAGGGCCCUGCAGACGGCUGGACCCUGGGCAGAGAAAGCCAGACCUCUGGGACAAAUAGGGUGGCUGAGGGUAGAAAGCCCAUCUUUACACAAUCACACACAUAUACACUCACCACGUACGCAUGUCCUUUUUAGCUCAAACUCAUUUGCUGAUGCUUCUGCUGUGCCAGAGUGUGGGGGUCCCGAGUGAGCUCUCUGAGCCACGAAAAUCCCCCUCCUUCCUGUCUGAGACUGGCCCCAACUCCUGACCCUGCCCAGGUAGUGGUGGGUUCCAAAGGGAUGGCUCUGAAGGAGACCCAGGGUGAGGCCGGGGUUGGGGGUUGAGGGCAGGGAGGGGGCUGAAGGCGCGGCGCGGUGGCGCCGAGUAGGAGCUGGGCUGGGGGCGCUGAUGGGGGACCCGGGAGGCAUUGACUUUUGCGCUGUUUGCCCGCGGCCUCGGAGCAAGCAGACGCCAUCUGUUUGCCGGCUGCGGCGAUUCCCGUUUAAUUACCCUCCCGGCAGCCUAAUAGAGAUGAUAUUAAACUAAAUCUUUCUGACAUUAAAAGUAAUUAUCCCCAAACCAGUGGCUCCGGGAUAGAAUCGCCCCUCCCGUCCAUGCACCUCCACUGGCCGCGCCAGAUUCCGUUAGUUUGGCUGAAAAUCUUUACCGGGAAGGGGGAGCGGAGAAAAGGGGUAAGGUGCCUUUGGGAGGAGUCUACCUAGGCCGCCCCAUGCAUGCUGCUUCGGCACAAUCACAGACUGUCUUGUAUGCACGACACUCGUGGAUACACACACACCUGUACACACACAGACACACAUUUUCCUCUGGAUCAACUCUCGAGCCUCAUUAAUUAAGACUCUCAGUCGUGUGAACCCUCAGAUAGGGAGAAGAGCAGCCUAGUUUGCUGUCCCUGUCUCCAGGCCCCUAAAAUGGCUUCCGCGUGGUCAAAGCAACGGAUCUGGCCUAGGGCAGGGCCAGGGACCCAGGCGCAACUUAGCAACCAGAAAGACCCUCUGCCACUGUGACUCUUGACUUCUCAGGCGCUCUUCCUGUGAGGGGCCCUGCGUCUCCUGCUUCCUUCAGUGUCUUACUUAAGUCCACCACCUCUGCAAGGCAAGUCCUGUUACCCCACUUUACAAGUGAGAAAACGGACUCAGAGAGGUGAGGUGAUUUGUCUCACAUCUUACAACCAGUAUGGGCCAGAGCAGAUAGAAUUCGAACCCAGGAGUACUGGGGAAGGCCCCUGCUCAAGGCCUGAGUUCUGCUCGGUUCCAGGCCUCGGCUGGGCACGGCGGACGGAUGUCUGGCCUGGGGCCCCUCUCCGUCGCGUGCGCCUGCAGGACCAGCCUUUUCCCGGGCUUUGGCCACCCUCGGCUCCAACGGAAGGAGUGGACGGGGAAGCCAGUUGUGGGCGGGGAAGCGAGGGCAGCCACCGGAACCCCAACGCAGAGCCCCAGCGGCAGCCCUUCUUUGGAUCAAGCCCCGGUGUCUACAGGGCGCGCGCAGGGGAGGCGGCCGCCCAGUGUCGUCAGGCUUCCUGUCUCCAGGUCCUUCUGACUGAGAGCGUCUGAGCCUGGGACAAACGCGCGGAGCGGUGGCGUGCAUCGCCCAACUACCUGUUUCUACUUUUGAGCGCCUACUGUGUACCACUACUCUGCUAAACGCUUGGUGUGUGCCGUCUUGCUUGUACGCAGUCCUUGGGGGAGGUGUGACGUUCUGCGUGUCAGAGGCGAGUUUGCCGAAGUUCCAAGGUUCAGCGAGGCGACGUAACUGGCCCGAGGUUACAAAGCUGCUGAACCUGGAAGAAGACAGGAACCCAGAUCCGACUCCCACUCUCAGGCUUUUUUUUGUUUUUUUCUCACCUUCAGUUCUGGGCGGGUAGCAGCAGACCUAGAGGCUUUCAGUCGGUUUGAUUCCAUUGAACUCAUUUAUUCACCGAAACACGAGAGAACUGGUCAUUCAUUCAUACCUUCAUUUAAUUAAUAUUGAGCACCUAGAAUGUGCCAGGCCCUGAGGACUGGCGAUAAAUCAACCAUGAUGGGCCCUUAAAGAGCCCGUGGGCCAACUGUGGACACAGUCACCUACCAGUGACCUCACAGUGAGAACAGGGCUGAGGUGGGAGUGGGGAAAGGAAGGUCAAGAAAGACUUUCUGAAGAAAGGGACCCCGGAAGCAGGACGUUAGGUUUCCCAAAAGUAUAUCUGGAAUAUAUACUUUUCUGUGUACCCACAUUUACAAAAAUAUACUUUUUGUUUACUUGCUUUUUUAUUUACAAUAUGGUAAGAAUUUU